UAAAUAUUUAAAUUUUAAUAUAAAGCUAAAAUUACACAGACCGUUGAUGAGGUAUUUUACUUUUACAAUCUCAACCGUUAAUUAGCAAUCCUAAACUUACACUCUCUCCCCUUCAGAAACGUAAACAGAGCAAAUAAACAAAGAACCCAGAAAAUGCUAAUUAACUUGCAGUGAAUCUCUUCAUCCCCUUCGUCCCCUGAUAAUAACAUCCAUAACAGUAGAAAAACAAUUAACUUAGCACUCUCUCUUCAUCGAUCUAAUCUUCCUUUGUCUCUAACAUUUCUCUUUAUCUUCUUCUCAUUCGUCUCCAACAUCCCUAACAGAUUCAAUCUUUCUUCGUAAACCACCAAAAACACAAACCCAUGGCAACAUCCCACUAUACCCAUCAUUAUCACCAUCGAACAUCCUGAUUUACCCCCACUCUUUGUAUAUGGGUUGGGUUUUGCAUUCUGUUCUUCAAUAAUUUAGAUUUCAUCUUGCUCGCCCAGAACUCAAGAACACAGGCUUACAGGCAGUACAUAUCCAAAGAA
Populus trichocarpa (black cottonwood) is the source of this 530-nucleotide long non-coding RNA. RefSeq lists it as uncharacterized. NCBI's taxonomy places the organism in Eukaryota, Viridiplantae, Streptophyta, Magnoliopsida, Malpighiales, Salicaceae. The transcript has 3 exons. The record is from RefSeq and is a predicted model, not a curated record.